GACGAACGCUGGCGGCGUGCUUAACACAUGCAAGUCGAACGGUUAAGCGCCUUCCUUUUUGGUUGGUGUGGAUGAGUGGCGAACGGGUGAGUAACACGUGAGUAACCUGCCCCCUUCUUCUGGAUAACCGCAUGAAAGUGUGUCUAAUACGGGAUAUUCUGGUUCUGUCGCAUGAUGGGUCUGGGAAAGAUAUUGUUUCGGUACUGGCUGGGCUUGGGGCCGAUCAGGUGGUUGGUGGGGUGAUGGCCUACCAAGGCGGUGACGGGUAGCCGGCCUGAGAGGGUGGACGGUCAGAAUGGGAGUGAGACAAGGCCCAGACUGAUACGGGAGGCAGCAGUGGGGAAUAUUGCACAAUGGGCGAGAGCCUGAUGCAGAGACGCGGCGUGAGGGAUGGAGGCCUUCGGGUUGUGAACCUCUUUCGCUAGUGAAGCAGGCCUGCCUGGUUUGUGGGUGGGUUGACGGUAGCUGGAUAAGAAGCGCCGGCUAACUACGUG
Molecule: ribosomal RNA, 494 nt
Filed under: uncultured bacterium
Lineage: Bacteria
Description: partial 16S ribosomal RNA
Rfam family: Bacterial small subunit ribosomal RNA
Source: RNAcentral